AAGAAAGUGACAGAGUGGGUAUGUACCUGGCUUGAAACCAGUGGAUGGGGGUUCAAUUCCCUCCUUUCUCG
This 71-nucleotide transfer RNA is filed under the name Dryophytes andersonii (pine barrens treefrog). RNAcentral describes it as "tRNA-Ser". It matches the Rfam family "tRNA". From Rfam's summary of the family: Transfer RNA (tRNA) molecules are approximately 80 nucleotides in length. Their secondary structure includes four short double-helical elements and three loops (D, anti-codon, and T loops). The record is from RNAcentral. Lineage: Eukaryota; Metazoa; Chordata; Amphibia; Anura; Hylidae.